This 291-nucleotide transfer-messenger RNA is filed under the name Brucella melitensis. RNAcentral's name for it is "partial transfer-messenger RNA". It matches the Rfam family "Alphaproteobacteria transfer-messenger RNA", at positions 75 to 355 of the family's 355-position model. Rfam says of the family: Bacterial tmRNA, also known as 10Sa RNA or SsrA, is named for its dual tRNA and mRNA-like properties. Its role is to liberate the mRNA from a stalled ribosome. Lineage: Bacteria; Pseudomonadati; Pseudomonadota; Alphaproteobacteria; Hyphomicrobiales; Brucellaceae. The record is from RNAcentral.
UAAUAAACCCAUUGGACCCGGGGGCGGUACCCGGCGCCUCCACCAAAGCACAGCUUGCCGAUCAGGCUGUGUUGUGGCGGGGGCGAAACAGGAUCGACAAGGGUGUAAAGAUCGCUCUUUUACUCGGCAUGAUACCACCGUUAUCGGGUCAACAGAGUAGUUGCAAAUGACAACAAUGCUCAGGGUUAUGCUCUCGCUGCCUAAUGGCGGUGCGGGAAACCCACUCUAAAGUCCUUAGGGUUAGCCCCUUAAGGCGGGGUUCGGAGGCACCUGGCAACAGAAGCCUCCACU